AACGAACGCUGGCGGCAGGCCUAACACAUGCAAGUCGAACGCCGUAGCAAUACGGAGUGGCAGACGGGUGAGUAACGCGUGGGAACCUACCUUACGGUCGGGAAUAGCUCAGGGAAACUUGGGGUAAUACCGGAUAAGCCCUUACGGGGAAAGAUUUAUCGCCGUUAGAUGGGCCCGCGUAGGAUUAGCUAGUUGGUGAGGUAAUGGCUCACCAAGGCGACGAUCCUUAGCUGGUCUGAGAGGAUGAUCAGCCACACUGGGACUGAGACACGGCCCAGACUCCUACGGGAGGCAGCAGUGGGGAAUAUUGGACAAUGGGCGCAAGCCUGAUCCAGCCAUGCCGCGUGAGUGACGAAGGCCUUAGGGUUGUAAAGCUCUUUUGGCGGGGAAGAUAAUGACGGUACCCGCAGAAUAAGCUCCGGCUAACUUCGUGCCAGCAGCCGCGGUAAAAUCACGUCGUACGUACGUAGCGGGCGGUCGGUCGAACGGACGGCGACUAAGAG
Molecule: ribosomal RNA, 503 nt
Filed under: uncultured bacterium
Lineage: Bacteria
Description: bacterial SSU rRNA
Rfam family: Bacterial small subunit ribosomal RNA
Source: RNAcentral